UACGUAGGGUGCGAGCGUUAAUCGGAAUUACUGGGCGUAAAGCGUGCGCAGGCGGUUUUUUAAGUCAGAUGUGAAAUCCCCGGGCUUAACCUGGGAAUGGCAUUUGGGACUGCAAGGCUCGAGUGCGGCAGAGGAGACUGGAAUUCCUGGUGUAGCAGUGAAAUGCGUAGAUAUCAGGAGGAACACCGAUGGCGAAGGCAGGUCUCUGGGCUGACACUGACGCUCAUGCACGAAAGCGUGGGGAGCAAACAGG
This 253-nucleotide ribosomal RNA is filed under the name uncultured bacterium. Its description in RNAcentral is "partial 16S ribosomal RNA". It matches the Rfam family "Bacterial small subunit ribosomal RNA", at positions 524 to 776 of the family's 1533-position model. The record is from RNAcentral.